UUGGUUAAGUCAGGCAACGAGCGAGACCCGGGCCAACAGUUACCAGCGGGCCCCAUUGGGGCGCCGGGAACACUGUUGGGACUGCCACAGAGGAAUGUGGAUGAAGGACCGGGCCACGGCAGGUCAGUAUGCCCCGAUAGUCCAGGGCUACACGCGGGCUACAAUGGUGCGGACAGUGGGUAACCAACCCCGAAAGGGGCCGGUAAUCUCUAAACCGCAUCGCAGUUGGGAUUGAGGGCUGCAACUCGCCCUCAUGAACUUGGAAUCCCUAGUAACGGCGCGUCAACAUCACGCCGUGAAUACGUCCCUGCUCCUUGCACA
This 321-nucleotide ribosomal RNA is filed under the name uncultured archaeon. Its description in RNAcentral is "bacterial SSU rRNA". It matches the Rfam family "Archaeal small subunit ribosomal RNA", at positions 1023 to 1343 of the family's 1478-position model. The record is from RNAcentral.